AGGCUAGCCACUUCACCUGCCUCCCAUUGGUGGAGCCUUCGGACACCUCCCAGCUACGAUGAUGUCACCUUUCUCCAGGUCCGGUGAGCCCUGAGUGGCUGGUGGCCAGCGGCAUCGCUACUCCUCCUCAGGUCUGGCAUUGGCUGGAAAUGGCUGGCCCCGGCGCUGGGUGGUGCUGAUUCACCGGCCGCGGCGGAGUUAGGCUCCGCCCGACCCCUCCUGGUCCUGCCUCUGACCUGUUGCGAGUCCUGUCUCUGGGGAAAACUUCGGGGACCUGCCAAGUGUCCCUCGAAUGGAAGGCUGGCACCUCGCGUCACCUGGGAGCUCAUCCCCGCUCGGGUUCGGGACCGGAGCCUUUGGUCUGGUGGCUGUGACCCCGGAGGUCCCCGGCUUUUCCAGAAUCCGGCAGCCGUGAACCCCCAGCGCAUCCUCCCGGGAGGGAGAGCUUCAUCAGCAACCCAGCAAGUGGCCGGUGGGCCAGGGGCUCAAGAGGGCGCCACGUGACUAAGGGGCUGGAAGGAAAAAGCCUGGCCUGUGUAAAACGCCACCCAGCGUUUUUUCUAUUCUCAGGAAGCGCUGGAAUCCGGCUGCGGGACACGGAAUUGAAUUUCUCUCCGAAGGCGCUUACCUCCCCCGCCCUGCCCCGGGAGAGUGGUGGCAGAAUUACUCUUGUCACGCAAGUGGGUCUUAAGAGCUCAGAAAUUAAAGUUGAAGCUGAGUAAGCUGAACCCCAAGAUUCUUUGGCCUAACGCUCUUUUAAGGUUUUCCCUUCCCUUUUAAUUCUAGAUAAAAACAGGAAGGCUACAGGAAGGUGUGUUUGUGUGAGGAGUGGUACCAAUAUAAAUGCUUACUAUAAUAUUAUGUAUAAAAACCAAAAGUUUAGGAUUGUUCCAUAAACCUCAUCAGAUUUUUUAAAUGAAAGCUCUCUGGAGACUCAAGUAAUGUACAUUGUUGCACAUACUGACAUUUCCAAUUUGAAAAUUAGAAAUAAAGUUAUUUAAGUUGGGAGUCCCCAAGGUUGAAAUGAGUAAAGCAUGUUUUUUUUUUUUUUUAAUAAAAUGUAUUAUUGUUG
RNAcentral lists this long non-coding RNA (1072 nucleotides) under Marmota monax (woodchuck). Lineage: Eukaryota; Metazoa; Chordata; Mammalia; Rodentia; Sciuridae. The record is from RNAcentral.